RNAcentral lists this ribosomal RNA (771 nucleotides) under uncultured bacterium. Its description in RNAcentral is "bacterial SSU rRNA". It matches the Rfam family "Bacterial small subunit ribosomal RNA", at positions 8 to 796 of the family's 1533-position model. The record is from RNAcentral.
AGAGUUUGAUCCUGGGUCAGGACGAACGCUGGCGGCGUGCUUAACACAUGCAAGUCGAGCGACAGUGUUCUUCGGGACAUAUGGAGCGGCGAACGGGUGAGUAACACGUGGGCAACCUGCCCUCAGCUCUGGGAUAACUCCGGGAAACCGGGGCUAAUACCGGAUAUGACCUUGUGCCUCAUGGUGCUUGGUGGAAAGUUCUUCGGCUGAGGAUGGGCCCGCGGCCUAUCAGCUUGUUGGUGGGGUAAUGGCCUACCAAGGCGACGACGGGUAGCCGGCCUGAGAGGGCGACCGGCCACACUGGGACUGAGACACGGCCCAGACUCCUACGGGAGGCAGCAGUGGGGAAUAUUGCGCAAUGGGCGGAAGCCUGACGCAGCGACGCCGCGUGAGGGAUGAAGGCCUUCGGGUUGUAAACCUCUUUCAGCAGGGACGAAGCGAGAGUGACGGUACCUGCAGAAGAAGCACCGGCCAACUACGUGCCAGCAGCCGCGGUAAUACGUAGGGUGCAAGCGUUGUCCGGAAUUAUUGGGCGUAAAGAGCUCGUAGGCGGUCUGUCGCGUCGGCUGUGAAAACUCGGGGCUCAACCCCGAGCCUGCAGUCGAUACGGGCAGACUAGAGUGCUGUAGGGGAGACUGGAAUUCCUGGCGUAGCGGUGAAAUGCGCAGAUAUCAGGAGGAACACCGGUGGCGAAGGCGGGUCUCUGGGCAGUAACUGACGCUGAGGAGCGAAAGCGUGGGGAGCGAACAGGAUUAGAUACCCUGGUAGUCC